UUGCUGUCGAUCCCGUAGUACUCGAACUGGAACAGGCCGCCGACCCAGAGCUCGAAGUUGCCCGAGGCGAAGCCGAAGCCCUUGCCCUUCUGGUGCUUCGUGACGACCCCGGCCUCGUCCCCUUCCUUCGCCAGGUACUCGGAGAUCGAGGUGUCGAGGCUCGAAAGGUGCCGGUCGACCUGGCUCUGGUCUUCCUUCAUCCGGU
RNAcentral lists this ribosomal RNA (205 nucleotides) under uncultured eukaryote. RNAcentral describes it as "partial small subunit ribosomal RNA". The record is from RNAcentral.